This 229-nucleotide ribosomal RNA is filed under the name uncultured Methanosaeta sp. Its description in RNAcentral is "partial 16S ribosomal RNA". It matches the Rfam family "Archaeal small subunit ribosomal RNA", at positions 1112 to 1338 of the family's 1478-position model. Lineage: Archaea; Methanobacteriati; Methanobacteriota; Methanomicrobia; Methanotrichales; Methanotrichaceae. The record is from RNAcentral.
UGCUAAAGAGGAGGAAGGAAUGGGCAACCGGUAGGUCAGCAUGCCCCGAAUAUCCCGGGCUACACGCGAGCUACAAUGGUUGGUACAAUGGGUAUCUACCCCGAAAGGGGACGGGAAUACUCCUAAAACCAAUCUUAGUUCGGAUUGAGGGCUGCAACUCGCCCUCAUGAAGCUGGAAUCCGUAGUAAUCGCGUUUCAACAGAACGCGGUGAAUACGUCCCUGCUCCUU